This is an unclassified non-coding RNA of Cricetulus griseus (Chinese hamster), 293 nucleotides long. Its record names the gene 7SK. It matches the Rfam family "7SK RNA". From Rfam's summary of the family: 7SK was discovered as an abundant small nuclear RNA in the mid-70s but a possible function has only recently been suggested. Two independent studies have found that 7SK RNA binds the CDK9/cyclin T complex (known as elongation factor P-TEFb). NCBI's taxonomy places the organism in Eukaryota, Metazoa, Chordata, Mammalia, Rodentia, Cricetidae. The record is from Ensembl.
GGGUGAUCUGGCUGUGAUAACUGUCACUCACUGAGUGCCAGGAUGGAUUCAGUUGAUCUAGCUGGCCAGGCUAAUGUCCUCUUUUCCUUCCCUCCAGAAGCUGUGGGCUUGGCAGAAGAAGACGAGUUUCUCUGAUGAAGGAGGUCUAUCUUUAGUCAAAAGUGUGUGAAUAGCUGCCCAUCCCUGCUGGAUCUUCAAGGAGCUCUCAAGAUGGUGUGUUUCUAGAGCUAGACUAUGGGUGGCACUUAGGGGUCCUUGUAGAAGAAGCUCUACUAAAGAGCUGGCUUCUUUGU